UACGAAGGGGGCUAGCGUUGCUCGGAAUUACUGGGCGUAAAGCGCACGUAGGCGGCUUCUUAAGUCGGUGGUGAAAUCCUGGAGCUCAACUCCAGAACUGCCUUCGAUACUGGGAAGCUCGAGUACCGGAGAGGUUGGUGGAAUUCUCGGUGUAGAGGUGAAAUUCGUAGAUAUCGAGAGGAACACCGGUGGCGAAGGCGGCCAACUGGACGAGUACUGACGCUGAGACACGAAAGCGUGGGGAGCAAACAGG
RNAcentral lists this ribosomal RNA (253 nucleotides) under uncultured bacterium. RNAcentral's name for it is "partial 16S ribosomal RNA". It matches the Rfam family "Bacterial small subunit ribosomal RNA", at positions 524 to 776 of the family's 1533-position model. The record is from RNAcentral.